Phasianus colchicus (ring-necked pheasant) is the source of this 1161-nucleotide long non-coding RNA. RefSeq lists it as uncharacterized. The record is from RefSeq and is a predicted model, not a curated record. Lineage: Eukaryota; Metazoa; Chordata; Aves; Galliformes; Phasianidae.
UCUCUGUCUUCGGUUUCAGAGGCAUCUUGAGAAUCAGUAUAACACAUUGUUGACUUUCUGCCUGCUCUUAAAAAUUCUGAUCUCUAUGUAUUUUUUUUCUGCACUACUGAUAAUUUUUUAAGUGACUGAACGUGAAGCACUGUAACAAGUCAUGCUUGAAAAUAGAUAAAGUAAUCUAAAAUUAUGCCUUUGUUUACUUUUCAUGCUCUCUUUUCUUUUGUUUCCUUAAUUAGAGUCUUUUUCUAGAAUUCUGUUCACUAAUAUAAUUAUACAUAUAGGGCAGGCAAACUUAAUUAUCUUACCAUGGACUGCUGUGGGCCCCUCUUUGAGGGCUCUGGCAUCUCAGCUCAUAUUUUCUCCAACAUCAACUGAAAGCACAAGCUGUCAUCUAAGACUGCAGCCCAACAUUCUAUGCAGCUUAAUAGCUCUACUGACUGUUCAUGUUAUUUGAGCUGCAUUUAAAACCUGAUCUUGCUUUCACCAGGAAAAUGAUAGGAAAAUCUAAUGAAAUUGAAGUACUUGGAGGUGUAAAUGUAAACACAUAUGGAAUGAUAUGCAGAACUAGUAAAUUGUACAAGGGGAGGUUUUGAAAUAUCUAUCUGAUUGCUUGCUCUUGGUGUCUGCUCCUUUCCUCAGGAACUAUUUAAAGCAUUAGCACUAUAAUAUAUACUGUUGCAGGUUGAAUGUCCUUCAUGAAAGUGUAGUUUCUCUAAAAUCACAUUAAACCUGAACGUUUUGGAACAGGUGUUUGCCUCAUAGCUGUUUGGAUCUGUUUUUGAAAUACAUUUCCCUAGUUUAUAUAACUGAAACACGGAUUUAAAAUUAAUUUUAGUGCAUAUAAGACAAGUAGUCCUAAUGCUUGAUCUCUUUUCUGAUCCAAGGGAAGGAUUGUCUGCACCCUCUCUCCAGUAUGACCUUCAAGUCUGUCCUUGUUGAAGAAAGGACACGUUACCACAAAAUGAUUUGAAUAUAAAUGAAUGCCAUGCUAUUCUGAAGACUUUGCCAUAGAGUUUCCAAGAAAAGAAAAUGCAAUGGAGAGCAGCUGAAAUUGUAUGUGCUACAGAUCACCUCUCUGUAUUGGAGCCAUUGUGAUUCUUCCAAAAGCUUUUAGUCAAAAGGUUAAAGAAGGUAAGAAUGUUUCUGUCUUCAUCUUGCCAUAAA